This 345-nucleotide ribosomal RNA is filed under the name Triticum aestivum (bread wheat). RNAcentral describes it as "partial small subunit ribosomal RNA". Lineage: Eukaryota; Viridiplantae; Streptophyta; Magnoliopsida; Poales; Poaceae. The record is from RNAcentral.
AUGCUGCCUCUGCCUGCUCAAGACACUGGCAAAGUCGCGUGGCCGAAGGCAGUCCCAACAGGUGGCUGCACUACGACAAGCGGGAAUGGCGAUGACCGCUACAUCUUCCGCGGCUACCGUGAGAGGUUGUGGGCUGCGUCGAGGGCUCUACUGCGAUGGCGAUCUGAUGAUGAAGCAGAUGAGGAGCUGCUCGAGCAGGCGAUGAUGAAGGCGAGCAUCGGCACGAUGGGGUUGGCGGAGCGUGCAGAUGAAGCUGCAGCGGCAAGUCUCGUGGCUGAAAUACAACGACAUAGAGUGGAGCAUCUGGUAGAUACAUCGUCUUUAGAUUGCUUGUUUAUUUGCUGA